Molecule: long non-coding RNA, 1058 nt
Organism: Haemorhous mexicanus (house finch)
Lineage: Eukaryota; Metazoa; Chordata; Aves; Passeriformes; Fringillidae
Exons: 3
Source: RefSeq, a predicted model, not a curated record
UAAUUGCAUAUGUAGCUAAAAUGCACACUGAGCAGCCAGAACAGACAAAUACCAAUAUUUAAGAUAUUUCACUUUUUUUAAAUCACAAGGUCAUGAACUUGCAUUUUGUUUUUGUUUCUUUUUCCCCAGGAAAUUGGACAGGAGGCUGGCUGAAAGUGUACCAGUGCUCUACAGGGAUUUCUUGUGCCUUUUCAAGGAAGGAUUUGCUGUGUUCUAGAAUGUUGAUAAGAGCUAUCAAAUGACAUCUUUGUGAAGAACAUGCCAGACCCUCUGCACGUUGAAAAAAGUCCAAAAAGCAGCAGCAUUAAUUCCUUGCACGCUUCUAAAAAAUAAAGUAGCGCAAGAAGAGAGCAUUCACCUUGCAAAUGGCAGGAUUCCAGGAAAGAAGGAGGGAAAAAAAGGGAAAAUUUGGGCAGAGGUUUGCGUGGCUGCCUGCAGACAAGGCGCCCCCCUGGCCUGCUGCCUGCUCCCGGCCUGCCAGCGGAAGUUUUGCCCUCGCCUUGGCAGCAGUGCCCUGGAAUGCUGCUCGGCUUCGUGCCGCCGAUCCCGGUGGGGAAGGCAAGGAGGGCUGUCCUGCAUGGAAAAGCACCCCCAUGGGAGCUGCCUGCCAAGCAGUGCCCACACCCCCAGGUACCACCUCAGCCCCUGAUUUUACCACUUGGAUGAGGACAAGUGAGUCCAGUCCCUGAGUUUGUAAGGAGUUGGGUUGUAAAUCCUCCUUGGUGCAGCCUGCUAAGUUAUUGAGUGCUUCCGCUCACCUCGGCAGCUUCACGACUCCUACAGAUACAUGGAAAAUUUAGAAUAACAGAGCUAUUUCACAUGGCAACAACGACCUGGAAGGAUCUGACUGGUGCAGUUCCUACAAAUCAAUCUGGUGUGAGCUUCUAAGCCAAUGGGCUGGUCCCCAGUGAGCGACCAACAUCUCGUCCUGGGCGUGUUAACAGCAAAGCUCGAAAUAAUGGUGACUUCUGGAAACCAAUUUUGAUAACCAGACUCUAUUUGUAAGGUAUUUAGAGCUAAUAAAGCUACUGUGGUCUUGGGAGUGCCCUUUUCCUUGA